This 1306-nucleotide ribosomal RNA is filed under the name Pedobacter steynii. RNAcentral's name for it is "bacterial SSU rRNA". It matches the Rfam family "Bacterial small subunit ribosomal RNA", at positions 95 to 1403 of the family's 1533-position model. Lineage: Bacteria; Pseudomonadati; Bacteroidota; Sphingobacteriia; Sphingobacteriales; Sphingobacteriaceae. The record is from RNAcentral.
GUGGCGCACGGGUGCGUAACGCGUAUGCAACCUACCUUAAUCAGGGGGAUAGCCCGAAGAAAUUCGGAUUAACACCGCAUAAAAUCACAGUACAGCAUUGUACAAUGAUCAAAUAUUUAUAGGAUUAAGAUGGGCAUGCGUGUCAUUAGUUAGUUGGCGAGGUAACGGCUCACCAAGACCACGAUGACUAGGGGAUCUGAGAGGAUGACCCCCCACACUGGUACUGAGACACGGACCAGACUCCUACGGGAGGCAGCAGUAAGGAAUAUUGGUCAAUGGAGGCAACUCUGAACCAGCCAUGCCGCGUGCAGGAAGACAGCCCUCUGGGUCGUAAACUGCUUUUAUUCGGGAAUAAACCUACUUACGUGUAAGUAGCUGAAUGUACCGAAGGAAUAAGGAUCGGCUAACUCCGUGCCAGCAGCCGCGGUAAUACGGAGGAUCCAAGCGUUAUCCGGAUUUAUUGGGUUUAAAGGGUGCGUAGGCGGCUUAUUAAGUCAGGGGUGAAAGACGGUGGCUCAACCAUCGCAGUGCCCUUGAUACUGAUGAGCUUGAAUACACUAGAGGUAGGCGGAAUGUGACAAGUAGCGGUGAAAUGCAUAGAUAUGUCACAGAACACCGAUUGCGAAGGCAGCUUACUAUGGUGUCAUUGACGCUGAGGCACGAAAGCGUGGGGAUCAAACAGGAUUAGAUACCCUGGUAGUCCACGCCCUAAACGAUGAAUACUCGCUGUUAGCGAUACACAGUUAGCGGCUAAGCGAAAGCGUUAAGUAUUCCACCUGGGGAGUACGCCCGCAAGGGUGAAACUCAAAGGAAUUGACGGGGGCCCGCACAAGCGGAGGAGCAUGUGGUUUAAUUCGAUGAUACGCGAGGAACCUUACCCGGGCUUGAAAGUUAGUGAAUGAGAUAGAGAUAUUUCAGUGAGCAAUCACACGAAACUAGGUGCUGCAUGGCUGUCGUCAGCUCGUGCCGUGAGGUGUUGGGUUAAGUCCCGCAACGAGCGCAACCCCUAUGUUUAGUUGCCAGCACGUUAAGGUGGGGACUCUAAACAGACUGCCUGUGCAAACAGAGAGGAAGGAGGGGACGACGUCAAGUCAUCAUGGCCCUUACGUCCGGGGCUACACACGUGCUACAAUGGAUGGUACAGAGGGCAGCAAGCUGGCAACAGCAAGCAAAUCUCAAAAAGCCAUUCACAGUUCGGAUAGAGGUCUGCAACUCGACCUCUUGAAGUUGGAUUCGCUAGUAAUCGCGUAUCAGCAAUGACGCGGUGAAUACGUUCCCGGGCCUUGUACACACCGCCCGUCAAGCC